RNAcentral lists this ribosomal RNA (176 nucleotides) under uncultured bacterium. RNAcentral describes it as "partial 16S ribosomal RNA". It matches the Rfam family "Bacterial small subunit ribosomal RNA", at positions 334 to 526 of the family's 1533-position model. The record is from RNAcentral.
GAUUCCUACGGGAGGCAGCAGUAGGGAAUCUUCCGCAAUGGGCGAAAGCCUGACGGAGCAACGCCGCGUGAGUGAUGAAGGCUUUCGGGUCGUAAAACUCUGUCCUAAGGGAAGAUAAUGACGGUACCUUAGGAGGAAGCCCCGGCUAACUACGUGCCAGCAGCCGCGGUAAUAAU